RNAcentral lists this ribosomal RNA (331 nucleotides) under uncultured Hirschia sp. RNAcentral's name for it is "bacterial SSU rRNA". It matches the Rfam family "Bacterial small subunit ribosomal RNA", at positions 1029 to 1382 of the family's 1533-position model. The record is from RNAcentral. Lineage: Bacteria; Pseudomonadati; Pseudomonadota; Alphaproteobacteria; Hyphomonadales; Hyphomonadaceae.
CGGAGACAGGUGCUGCAUGGCUGUCGUCAGCUCGUGUCGUGAGAUGUUGGGUUAACGUCCCGCAACGAGCGCAACCCUCGCUUCUAGUUGCCAGCAUUUAGUUGGGCACUCUAGAGGAACUGCCUGCGCCAAGCAGGAGGAAGGCGGGGAUGACGUCAAGUCCUCAUGGCCCUUACAGGUGGGGCUACACACGUGCUACAAUGGCGGUGACAAAGGGAUAAUCCCUAAAAGCCGUCUCAGUUCGGAUUGUCCUCUGCAACUCGAGGGCAUGAAGUUGGAAUCGCUAGUAAUCGCGGAUCAGCACGCCGCGGUGAAUACGUUCCCGGGCCUU